GAUGAACGCUGGCGGCGUGCCUAAUACAUGCAAGUCGAGCGAACAGAUAAGGAGCUUGCUCCUUUGACGUUAGCGGCGGACGGGUGAGUAACACGUGGGUAACCUACCUAUAAGACUGGGAUAACUUCGGGAAACCGGAGCUAAUACCGGAUAACAUUUGGAACCGCAUGGUUCUAAAGUGAAAGAUGGUUUUGCUAUCACUUAUAGAUGGACCCGCGCCGUAUUAGCUAGUUGGUAAGGUAACGGCUUACCAAGGCAACGAUACGUAGCCGACCUGAGAGGGUGAUCGGCCACACUGGAACUGAGACACGGUCCAGACUCCUACGGGAGGCAGCAGUAGGGAAUCUUCCGCAAUGGGCGAAAGCCUGACGGAGCAACGCCGCGUGAGUGAUGAAGGGUUUCGGCUCGUAAAACUCUGUUAUUAGGGAAGAACAAACGUGUAAGUAACUGUGCACGUCUUAACGGUACCUAAUCAGAAAGCCACGGCUAACUACGUG
RNAcentral lists this ribosomal RNA (497 nucleotides) under uncultured bacterium. RNAcentral's name for it is "partial 16S ribosomal RNA". It matches the Rfam family "Bacterial small subunit ribosomal RNA", at positions 28 to 507 of the family's 1533-position model. The record is from RNAcentral.